RNAcentral lists this ribosomal RNA (488 nucleotides) under uncultured bacterium. RNAcentral's name for it is "bacterial SSU rRNA". It matches the Rfam family "Bacterial small subunit ribosomal RNA", at positions 16 to 507 of the family's 1533-position model. The record is from RNAcentral.
AUCCUGGCUCAGGAUGAACGCUAGCGGCAGGCUUAACACAUGCAAGUCGAGGGGUAUAGUUCUUCGGAACUAGAGACCGGCGCACGGGUGCGUAACGCGUAUGCAAUCACUUUUACAGAGGGAUAGCCCAGAGAAAUUUGGAUUAAUACCUCAUAGUAUGUGAGAAUCGCAUGGUUUUCACAUUAAAGUUCCAACGGUAAAAGAUGAGCAUGCGUCCCAUUAGCUAGAUGGUAAGGUAACGGCUUACCAAGGCUACGAUGGGUAGGGGUCCUGAGAGGGAGAUCCCCCACACUGGUACUGAGACACGGACCAGACUCCUACGGGAGGCAGCAGUGAGGAAUAUUGGUCAAUGGGCGCAAGCCUGAACCAGCCAUGCCGCGUGCAGGAUGACGGUCCUAUGGAUUGUAAACUGCUUUUGUACAGGAAGAAACACUCCCUCGUGAGGGAGCUUGACGGUACUGUAAGAAUAAGGAUCGGCUAACUCCGUG